Acanthochromis polyacanthus (spiny chromis) is the source of this 449-nucleotide long non-coding RNA. RefSeq lists it as uncharacterized. Lineage: Eukaryota; Metazoa; Chordata; Actinopteri; Pomacentridae. The transcript has 4 exons. The record is from RefSeq and is a predicted model, not a curated record.
ACACAGAUGAGUCACACCUGUACACUCACACAGAUGAGUCACACCUGUACACUCACACAGAUGAGAGUCACACCUGUACACUCACACAGAUGAGAGUCACACCUGUACACUCACACAGAUGAGUCACACCUGUACACUCACACAGGUGAGAGUCACACCUGUACACUCACACAGAUGAGUCACACCUGUACACUCACACAGAUGAGAGUCACACCUGUACACUCACACAGAUGAGUCACACCUGUACACUCACACAGAUGAGUCACACCUGUACACUCACACAGAUGAGAGUCACACCUGUACACUCACACAGAUGAGUCACACCUGUACACUCACACAGAUGAGUCACACCUGUACACUCACACAGAUGAGAGUCACACCUGUACACUCACACAGAUGAGUCACACCUGUACACUCACACAGAUGAGUCACACCUGUACACUCACACA